RNAcentral lists this ribosomal RNA (465 nucleotides) under uncultured bacterium. Its description in RNAcentral is "partial 16S ribosomal RNA". It matches the Rfam family "Bacterial small subunit ribosomal RNA", at positions 28 to 507 of the family's 1533-position model. The record is from RNAcentral.
GAUGAACGCUGGCGGCGUGCUUAACACAUGCAAGUCGAACGCUGAAGCCCAGCCGGCUGGGCGGGUUAGUGGCGAACGUGAGUGAAACACGUGAGAACUCCGCCCUUGACUCUGGGAUAUCCCCGGGAAAGGGGGUAAAAUCCGGUGUGGGCGCGCGCCGCGUAGUCCGGUGGUGGGAAGGAUUUUCGGCUGGGGAUGGGCCCGCGGCCUAUCAGCUUGUUGGUGGGGUAGUGGCCUACCAAGGGGACGACGGGUAGCCGGCCUGAGAGGGUGACCGGCCACACUGGGACUGAGACACGGCCCAGACCCCUACGGGAGGCAGCAGUGGGGAAUAUUGCGCAAUGGGCGGAAGCCUGAAGCAGCGACGCCGCGUGGGGGAUGACGGCCUUCGGGUUGUAAACCUCUUUCAGCAGGGACGAAGCGAAAGUGACGGUACCUGCAGAAGAAGCACCGGCUAACUACGUG